AGGAGAGUGGAAUUCCACGUGUAGCGGUGAAAUGCGUAGAGAUGUGGAGGAACGUACCAGAUGGCGAAGGCGACUCUCUGGUCUGUAACUGACGCUGAGGCGCGAAAGCGUGGGGAGCGAACAGGAUUAGAUACCCUGGUAGUCCACGCCGUAAACGAUGAGUGCUAAGUGUUAGAGGGUUUCCGCCCUUUAGUGCUGCAGCAAACGCAUUAAGCACUCCGCCUGGGGAGUACGGUCGCAAGACUGAAACUCAAAGGAAUUGACGGGGGCCCGCACAAGCGGUGGAGCAUGUGGUUUAAUUCGAAGCAACGCGAAGAACCUUACCAGGUCUUGACAUCCUCUGACAACCCUAGAGAUAGGGCUUCCCCUUCGGGGGCAGAGUGACAGGUGGUGCAUGGUUGUCGUCAGCUCGUGUCGUGAGAUGUUGGGUUAAGUCCCGCAACGAGCGCAACCCUUGAUCUUAGUUGCCAGCAUUCAGUUGGGCACUCUAAGGUGACUGCCGGUGACAAACCGGAGGAAGGUGGGGAUGACGUCAAAUCAUCAUGCCCCUUAUGACCUGGGCUACACACGUGCUACAAUGGGCAGAACAAAGGGCAGCGAAGCCGCGAGGCUAAGCCAAUCCCACAAAUCUGUUCUCAGUUCGGAUCGCAGUCUGCAACUCGACUGCGUGAAGCUGGAAUCGCUAGUAAUCGCGGAUCAGCAUGCCGCGGUGAAUACGUUCCCCGGCCUUGUACACCACCGCCCGUCAACACCACGAGAGUUUGUAACACCCGAAGUCG
This 779-nucleotide ribosomal RNA is filed under the name Bacillus licheniformis. RNAcentral's name for it is "bacterial SSU rRNA". It matches the Rfam family "Bacterial small subunit ribosomal RNA", at positions 655 to 1429 of the family's 1533-position model. Lineage: Bacteria; Bacillati; Bacillota; Bacilli; Caryophanales; Bacillaceae. The record is from RNAcentral.